GUCUUUAUAAAUGUUAUUUUGGUUCACAAGUGUUUUAAAUGGAAAAUGAAGAUCUGAUGACUAUUAAUAAAAAAUAAUAAUAAUUCAAAUGAAGGAAGACAGCAAGCUGAAGAAUGCCAUGUGCACACCAGGCAUGGUCAGGGUGGGUACGUGUCCUGGGCAGGUGCUGGAACAGGAGCCCACCUCCUCCAGCAGCGGCCAAGCCCCACAGGACCCUGCUCCCCCAGCCCAGAAAGCAGGACCAGGACCAGAAAGCGGACCAGGACCAGGACCAGGAGGUCCAUCGCGCUGCUCACAAACCAAUUUACAUACUGGUUUACAUAUUGCUUUUGGAGACUAUGCACUGAAGGUAACAUUUUCUUUUAAGCAUGAAUUUUUCCUGCUCUAAGGAACCGGCUUUGGCAGGGGGGUUGGACCCGAUGAUCUUUUGAGGUCCCUUCCAACCCCUUCAAUUCUGUGAUUCUGUGAUUUCCAGCCUCUUAAACACGAAUAACAGGCCUGGGUCCAUUUGCAACCCGACUAUUUAAGAAAAAGUCAGAGAAUUAUUCUUUUGGUACUAUAGCAUAUGUGUUUUCUUGUCAAAAUUAAAUGUUUGACACAAGGGAAUAAUUUGCUCGCACAAAGACAGAGUUUUCCCAGUGGCUCCUCUAGCCCAGUGGGUGCACACUGUAUUACUGCACUUGUUAAAAGAUUCCUCAUUGUUCCACCGUGAUUCAUCGUCACCCGCUCCACAAACACCAGGCUGUAAUUGCUCUGAUAGCUGGUUACUUCCAGCUGGGUUCACAUUCACUGUCAUCAGCUUCAACUAGUUCAGCCUAUUUCUACACUUCCUCUCACACUCUUUUCUUCAUUAAGAUUGUCAUGAAGCCGAUUCUAUUACUAAGUCCUUUUACACAGACUAAGCACUUGUUUCUUACACUGCCAUCAACAGUCAUUUAAUGACUUCUGCUCAUCAGAAGGUUUGAUGUUUCCCAAAGCUGAUGAACAUCACCCAAAUCUUUCUUUUUUACAGUGGUUUUAGUUUGCUUCUCCCCAGAUAACGUAACAGAAAUACUGCAGAGAGCUUUUCAAGACUCUGUAUUCUCUCCUCCCACUUUCUUCCAAGAUUUGUGCUGGAAAGGAAUAGGAACUACAUACAAUGAGCAGAAUUAAAAAUAAUGAUAAAAUAAUGACAAGAAUUCUUUGACAGGACAUAUUGCUAAAUUUUUUCUAAAAUAACCUAAUAGGGAACUCAAACAUCAAUUCAUUAACCAGAAGCAGCUGUCCAAUAAAACCAGAUUGUAAUGGCA
Molecule: long non-coding RNA, 1289 nt
Filed under: Anas platyrhynchos platyrhynchos (common mallard)
Lineage: Eukaryota; Metazoa; Chordata; Aves; Anseriformes; Anatidae
Description: lncRNA (ENSAPLG00000025494.1)
Source: RNAcentral